This 253-nucleotide ribosomal RNA is filed under the name uncultured bacterium. RNAcentral's name for it is "partial 16S ribosomal RNA". It matches the Rfam family "Bacterial small subunit ribosomal RNA", at positions 524 to 776 of the family's 1533-position model. The record is from RNAcentral.
UACGUAGGGAGCAAGCGUUGUCCGGAUUUACUGGGUGUAAAGGGUGCGUAGGCGGCCCUGCAAGUCAGAAGUGAAAUACCGGGGCUCAACCCCGGGACUGCAUUUGGAACUGUUAAGCUGGAGUGUCGGAGAGGCAGGCGGAAUUCCUAGUGUAGCGGUGAAAUGCGUAGAUAUUAGGAGGAACACCAGUGACGAAGGCGGCCUGCUGGACGAUGACUGACGUUGAGGCUCGAAAGCGUGGGGAGCAAACAGG